Molecule: ribosomal RNA, 497 nt
Filed under: uncultured bacterium
Lineage: Bacteria
Description: partial 16S ribosomal RNA
Rfam family: Bacterial small subunit ribosomal RNA
Source: RNAcentral
GAUGAACGCUGGCGGCGUGCCUAAUACAUGCCAGUCGAGCGAACAGACGAGGAGCUUGCUCCUCUGACGUUAGCGGCGGACGGGUGAGUAACACGUGGAUAACCUACCUAUAAGACUGGGAUAACUUCGGGAAACCGGAGCUAAUACCGGAUAAUAUAUUGAACCGCAUGGUUCAAUAGUGAAAGACGGUUUUGCUGUCACUUAUAGAUGGAUCCGUGCCGCAUUAGCUAGUUGGUAAGGUAACGGCUUACCAAGGCGACGAUGCGUAGCCGACCUGAGAGGGUGAUCGGCCACACUGGAACUGAGACCCGGUCAAGACUCCUAAGGGAGGCAGCAGUAGGGAAUCGUCCGCAAUGGGCGAAAGCCUGACGGAGCAACGCCGCGUGAGUGAUGAAGGUCUUCGGAUCGUAAAACUCUGUUAUGAGGGAAGAACAAAUGUGUAAGUAACUAUGCACGUCUUGACGGUACCUAAUCAGAAAGCCACGGCUAACUACGUG